GACGAACGCUGGCGGCGUGCCUAAUACAUGCAAGUAGAACGCUGAAGAGAGGAGCUUGCUCUUCUUGGAUGAGUUGCGAACGGGUGAGUAACGCGUAGGUAACCUGCCUGGUAGCGGGGGAUAACUAUUGGAAACGAUAGCUAAUACCGCAUAACAACAGUUGUUGCAUGACAGCUGUUUAAAAGAUGCAAUUGCAUCACUACCAGAUGGACCUGCGUUGUAUUAGCUAGUUGGUGAGGUAACGGCUCACCAAGGCGACGAUACAUAGCCGACCUGAGAGGGUGAUCGGCCACACUGGGACUGAGACACGGCCCAGACUCCUACGGGAGGCAGCAGUAGGGAAUCUUCGGCAAUGGGGGGAACCCUGACCGAGCAACGCCGCGUGAGUGAAGAAGGUUUUCGGAUCGUAAAGCUCUGUUGUAAGAGAAGAACGGGUGUGAGAGUGGAAAGUUUCCCACUG
This 460-nucleotide ribosomal RNA is filed under the name Streptococcus sp. oral taxon B66. RNAcentral's name for it is "bacterial SSU rRNA". It matches the Rfam family "Bacterial small subunit ribosomal RNA", at positions 28 to 471 of the family's 1533-position model. Lineage: Bacteria; Bacillati; Bacillota; Bacilli; Lactobacillales; Streptococcaceae. The record is from RNAcentral.